AAGAAUCAAAACUUAUUUUGACCAAAGAAUUGGAAGAGACCCAAAAAACUCUGGAAAACGAGACACUAGCCUCCAACCAAACGACUCAAAGCUUAGCUGAAAAAAUGGCUUCACUGAAUUUAAAAAUUAAGUGUGUCAGUAGGUCGACUGGUGAGGCACCAAUCGGCGCAAACAAAAAGGGGAAUUGAUUUAUGUAUCUUGAUAGACAUGCAGUCGCUUGUAUUGGUAACGAAUUCCUCCAACAUUUUCAUUUCAUCAGCAGUGGUGAGAACAAUGCCUAUUACAGUUACACUUCUUGUCACUAUACUUUAUAACCUAAGCUAGCUGUGUGGCUUGAAUGUAGGAAGAUUAUCUUUUACUGUAUUAAAUACAGUGGCCUAUGCUUCAGCUUGCUUGUUU
Molecule: long non-coding RNA, 399 nt
Organism: Daphnia pulicaria
Lineage: Eukaryota; Metazoa; Arthropoda; Branchiopoda; Diplostraca; Daphniidae
Exons: 2
Source: RefSeq, a predicted model, not a curated record